Molecule: ribosomal RNA, 1089 nt
Filed under: Salmonella enterica subsp. enterica serovar Enteritidis
Lineage: Bacteria; Pseudomonadati; Pseudomonadota; Gammaproteobacteria; Enterobacterales; Enterobacteriaceae
Description: bacterial SSU rRNA
Rfam family: Bacterial small subunit ribosomal RNA
Source: RNAcentral
GCUUCGCUGACGAGUGGCGGACGGGUGAGUAAUGUCUGGGAAACUGCCUGAUGGAGGGGGAUAACUACUGGAAACGGUGGCUAAUACCGCAUAACGUCGCAAGACCAAAGAGGGGGACCUUCGGGCCUCUUGCCAUCAGAUGUGCCCAGAUGGGAUUAGCUUGUUGGUGAGGUAACGGCUCACCAAGGCGACGAUCCCUAGCUGGUCUGAGAGGAUGACCAGCCACACUGGAACUGAGACACGGUCCAGACUCCUACGGGAGGCAGCAGUGGGGAAUAUUGCACAAUGGGCGCAAGCCUGAUGCAGCCAUGCCGCGUGUAUGAAGAAGGCCUUCGGGUUGUAAAGUACUUUCAGCGGGGAGGAAGGUGUUGUGGUUAAUAACCGCAGCAAUUGACGUUACCCGCAGAAGAAGCACCGGCUAACUCCGUGCCAGCAGCCGCGGUAAUACGGAGGGUGCAAGCGUUAAUCGGAAUUACUGGGCGUAAAGCGCACGCAGGCGGUCUGUCAAGUCGGAUGUGAAAUCCCCGGGCUCAACCUGGGAACUGCAUUCGAAACUGGCAGGCUUGAGUCUUGUAGAGGGGGGUAGAAUUCCAGGUGUAGCGGUGAAAUGCGUAGAGAUCUGGAGGAAUACCGGUGGCGAAGGCGGCCCCCUGGACAAAGACUGACGCUCAGGUGCGAAAGCGUGGGGAGCAAACAGGAUUAGAUACCCUGGUAGUCCACGCCGUAAACGAUGUCUACUUGGAGGUUGUGCCCUUGAGGCGUGGCUUCCGGAGCUAACGCGUUAAGUAGACCGCCUGGGGAGUACGGCCGCAAGGUUAAAACUCAAAUGAAUUGACGGGGGCCCGCACAAGCGGUGGAGCAUGUGGUUUAAUUCGAUGCAACGCGAAGAACCUUACCUGGUCUUGACAUCCACAGAAGAAUCCAGAGAUGGAUUUGUGCCUUCGGGAACUGUGAGACAGGUGCUGCAUGGCUGUCGUCAGCUCGUGUUGUGAAAUGUUGGGUUAAGUCCCGCAACGAGCGCAACCCUUAUCCUUUGUUGCCAGCGGUUAGGCCGGGAACUCAAAGGAGACUGCCAGUGAUAAACUGGAG